RNAcentral lists this transfer RNA (108 nucleotides) under Candidatus Woesearchaeota archaeon. Its description in RNAcentral is "tRNA-Arg". It matches the Rfam family "tRNA". Rfam says of the family: Transfer RNA (tRNA) molecules are approximately 80 nucleotides in length. Their secondary structure includes four short double-helical elements and three loops (D, anti-codon, and T loops). Further hydrogen bonds mediate the characteristic L-shaped molecular structure. tRNAs have two regions of fundamental functional importance: the anti-codon, which is responsible for specific mRNA codon recognition, and the 3' end, to which the tRNAs corresponding amino acid is attached (by aminoacyl-tRNA synthetases). tRNAs cope with the degeneracy of the genetic code in two manners: having more than one tRNA (with a specific anti-codon) for a particular amino acid; and 'wobble' base-pairing, i.e. permitting non-standard base-pairing at the 3rd anti-codon position. The record is from RNAcentral. Lineage: Archaea; Nanobdellati; Candidatus Woesearchaeota.
GGACCCGUAGCCUAGCCUGGACAAGGCGACAAAGAAAUAGAAAAAAUCUAUUUUAUUCGCUAGAGCCUUCUAAGCUGUAGAUCGCGAGUUCGAAUCUCGCCGGGUCCG